UACGUAGGUGACAAGCGUUGUCCGGAUUUACUGGGCGUAAAGAGCGCGCAGGCGGUCGUUCAAGUCGAGUGUGAAAGCCCCCGGCUCAACCUGGGAAUGGCAUUGGAAACUGGCUUGCUGGAGUGUGGCAGAGGGGGGUGGAAUUCCGCGUGUAGCAGUGAAAUGCGUAGAGAUGCGGAGGAACACCGAUGGCGAAGGCAGCCCCCUGGGCCAACACUGACGCUCAGGCACGAAAGCGUGGGGAGCAAACAGG
RNAcentral lists this ribosomal RNA (253 nucleotides) under uncultured bacterium. RNAcentral describes it as "partial 16S ribosomal RNA". It matches the Rfam family "Bacterial small subunit ribosomal RNA", at positions 524 to 776 of the family's 1533-position model. The record is from RNAcentral.